CUUUCAUUAGGAACAGAUGUGCAAAUCGAAGCUAUCACAGGAACUCGCUAUACAGCAGUCCAUGAGAGAAAUUAGAUGAGGAGUGAUCUCUGGAAGCACAACCCAGUCAUCCAGCAUAUGCACACCUGUUUGUCAAUAGGCAGCACAGCAGGGAUCAAACAGCAAGAGGAAACACUUGUGCUCUCAGACCUCCUUCCAGUG
RNAcentral lists this long non-coding RNA (201 nucleotides) under Gallus gallus (chicken). The record is from RNAcentral. Lineage: Eukaryota; Metazoa; Chordata; Aves; Galliformes; Phasianidae.